Molecule: long non-coding RNA, 1389 nt
Filed under: Pavo cristatus (Indian peafowl)
Lineage: Eukaryota; Metazoa; Chordata; Aves; Galliformes; Phasianidae
Description: lncRNA (ENSPSTG00000013962.1)
Source: RNAcentral
AUGGCACUGCUCAUGCCAAGCACGGCUGGAGGUGAUGGCACACGCAUGGGCCAUGCACCAUGGGGCUUACCUCAGUGGCCAUGGGGACACCUACACCCUGCACACCCCAUCCCUACCUCCCAGCAGGACACACCCCGAGGACAGAGCCAUCCCCACACACGUACCUCCUCCAGCAGGCGCGGGUCCAGGCAAUCCCCAUCGUCAUUGAAAAGCGCAUCCCAGCUCUCCGCACCACCUGGGCUGCUCGGGGUCCCAGCACCAGGCUGGCUCGGCUUUAAGGCGCUGCCAUGGGGACGUCCCUCCUCAUCCUCCUCUUCCUCCUGGUGCUGCUGCUGCCAACCUUCAUCUUCAUCUGCUCGUGUCGGUUCCUCAGCCCACGAUCCAGGCGAGAGCUGUUCCAUGCCGUGGCACAGCAGCUCCAGGGGUUUCAGGGGCUGGGGGCUGCCCAGGGGAUCUCCAUCCCCGGGGCCACUUUCUGUCCCCCCAGCACAGCUCAACUCCUCACCAGCCCCCAGCUCACUGCUCCCAUCGGGCACAAGGACACCCUCCCCUCCAUCGUGUCCAGCACCAGCAUUGGCCUGCUCCUUGUUGGGCGGCAGCUGCUCCACAUGCUCUGGCAGGAGCUGGGAUGUGCUGCCCAUGUCCCAGUCCAGGAAUGCUGUCGUGUCCCCCGUCCCGGCUUCACAGGCAGCUUCUCCUGGGGCAGCCACGGUGCUACCUCGCUGCCUCUCUUCCUCAGGGUCAGUGGAGCAGCCCUCACUCUGCCCUGCAAGGACAGACUCAUCACGCUCCCUCUCCUCCUCGUGGCUUUUCACACUCUCCCAACUGAGCUGGGGUGUGCUGCCCACAUUCCCCUCUCCUGCCUGCUGCAAAGCACCUUGUUCUGUGCAUCCCAAGCACUCCGUAGCUGCACCCACGGAGCUGCGCCCCAGAAGCUCCGUCACGUUGCCCAGCUCUGUCCGAUGCACCAUGCUCAGUUCAGCUGCCAUUACACCAUCGGGAUCUCCACCAUGCUUAGGGGCAGCCACAGGAUGGGCACCCAGAGGGUCCGGCACCAUCCGCACCCCAUGGCUGCACUCCAUAGGCCCCGCAUCCCGGGAUGCUCCGCCCGAGGGCUGUGCAGCAGCUGGCUCCAGGCUCGGCUCCUGCACAUCGGGCGAUGCUCCCGCUGCCUGUCUGUCCCCAGAAGUGGCUGCCUGUGGCUCCUUGGCCCCGGCCUUGCUCUCCCUACCAGCCGCUCUGCCCACGUGUGUCCUGGCUCCAGGGCUUCGCCUCUGCCCCUCAGAGCCACCCUUGGGGAUGUCCGGUGCCGGCCGCUGCUUCUCGGGCUCCCGGUGGCUGGCGGCCACCGCUUGUGCUGCUCUCUCCCGCCGUGCUUUGGGGACAUAG